CUGACCUCCUGUUGAUGCCAGAGGUCAGAGGAGAAUGGCCAGACUGCCUCAAGCUGAUAGGAAGGCAACAAACCUUAAAGCAGAUGGGCUACAGCAGCAGAACAUUACAUCAGUUCAUAGUUGUGUCAGCUAAGAACAGGAAACGGAAGCUACAGUUUGCAUUAGUUUGAAAAAAAAAUGGAUAACAGAAAAAUGUUGUUUGAUCUGAUGUGAGUCUUGAUUUUUGCUUCAACACCACACGGACAGAAUGGGCCGCUCAGUACUAUCACAUUCCAACAUCUCCUUUGGGAUGUGGUGGAAUGGGAGACUGGCAUCAGGGAUGUGCGGCAUAAAAAACUGUAGCAAAGAUUAAAUUCAAAUAAUUAUUUGAAAUGUAGGAAAUACAGACUGGUUUAGCUCUGAGCUAUUUACACAAGUACAAUAUGAAAAAUGCUAGAAGCAGGGUAGCUCAAAUUACUAUACAAUAGAAACCAAUGAAGGAUUAUUUAACUGUUUAGAGCAUCAUGCAUCUCUUCACUACAACAUCCUAUUAUUUGGUGUAGAGCCACAGAAAAUAACUGUUUUCCCUUCAAAUUCAUCUAAAAUGAAGCAAAUUACUCAUAAAACUGAUGUUAUUUCAUAUGUUACAGUUGGAGACCACAUGUUAAUCUGUUAAAAAAAUUAUUGGAUCAUCAAUUCAUUUAAAAAAAAAAAAAAGGGUUUAUAGUUCGCUCACUGGAGAGCACAGAACAAGCCCCCCCACCCCUAUCAGUCUGACAAAUUGUUCUCAGUCUUCUGUUCUGAGUUUGAUCUGAUUUAUACGAAUGAUCUCCUUGUUAUAAUUUCUCAUAUGUGCACUUAUUCUCCCCAAAUUUCUUAAAGACGAGUUGUCAUGGACUGUGUUAAAGAUUAUUUCUGGAUGUUUCUAGUUUCAUGUCUGACAGGAUAGAACAGUCUUCAAGUCUGAUCCUCUGUAAUGUCAAAAAAGAGGAAAGGUGGGCCUGCUCUAAUGUAUCCCUCACAGUAUCUCUAAAUUUCACAGUCAAAUCCACUCUUUAAUGGUCAUGUUAGACUUCAAAAUGUUAAGAUGGUGACAGUAAAACAUGAUGUGGUGGCUCUGCUCAUAUUUUAUAUGCAGUCUUUAUGAAAUAUAGUGAAAAAUCAAUAGAAAAACAACAGAAAUAGUACAAAUUCAAAAAACAAU
Long non-coding RNA from Astatotilapia calliptera (eastern happy), 1183 nucleotides. NCBI's taxonomy places the organism in Eukaryota, Metazoa, Chordata, Actinopteri, Cichliformes, Cichlidae. The record is from Ensembl.